UGCUGUUGUAAGCCAAGUGAUGUUAUUGCUGAGGGAAAAAGGUGUGCAGUUAAUCCGUGAUAUACCAGAGGAAAUUAAGACAUUAACAGUACAUGGUGAUCAAGUGAGAAUUCAACAGGUCUUGGCAGAUUUCUUGUUGAACAUGGUGCGGUAUGCACCAUCACCUGAUGGGUGGGUAGAGAUCCAACUUCGACCAAGUAUGAUGCCAAUA
Molecule: unclassified non-coding RNA, 211 nt
Filed under: Hevea brasiliensis (rubber tree)
Lineage: Eukaryota; Viridiplantae; Streptophyta; Magnoliopsida; Malpighiales; Euphorbiaceae
Source: RNAcentral